AUCGCUUCUCGGCCUUUUGGCUAAGAUCAAGUGUAGUAUUUUUAUAUUUGGUUUUGAAAUUUUUAAAAAUAUAUUUUAUUUUGAAAUAAUUUUGGGCUCACAAGAAGUUGCAAAAAUAGUAUAGAGUUCCUAUGUACUCUUCACCCAGUUUCUCCCAGUGAUACUGUCUUACAUCAUCACAGUAUAUUACCUGAACAAGA
Symphalangus syndactylus (siamang) is the source of this 200-nucleotide small nuclear RNA. RefSeq annotates it as U2 spliceosomal RNA. The record is from RefSeq and is a predicted model, not a curated record. Lineage: Eukaryota; Metazoa; Chordata; Mammalia; Primates; Hylobatidae.